CUGGGCCCAGGCGGGCGGGGACAGAAUGGCAGCCACUUCCCUUUCAGCCUUUAUUUUAUUUAUUUAUUUAAUUUUUUUUUUGGUACCGGGGAUCGAACUCGGGUCCUUGCACUGGCGAGGCAGGUGGCGUAAUUACUGAGCUAAAUCCCGUUUUUCAGCCUUUAAAUCAGCAGAUCCACAGAAGGGAUCUGGAAGCCGCCUUCAUCAUCAGGAUUGAGAACAAAGCACAGGCGCUGGUGUUGGCCUGCCUGGCGCGGCUGCUGGGGUCCGGAGAUCAGGAAGGAGGAGCUGAGGAGAGGACCGAGGAUCCCCAGGACUCCCCGGUGCUUCCCUACCCCGCUGGAAAAGGCCUG
RNAcentral lists this long non-coding RNA (353 nucleotides) under Fukomys damarensis (Damara mole-rat). RNAcentral describes it as "lncRNA (ENSFDAG00000026705.1)". The record is from RNAcentral. Lineage: Eukaryota; Metazoa; Chordata; Mammalia; Rodentia; Bathyergidae.